Photinus pyralis (common eastern firefly) is the source of this 489-nucleotide long non-coding RNA. RefSeq lists it as uncharacterized. The record is from RefSeq and is a predicted model, not a curated record. The transcript is spliced from 2 exons. Lineage: Eukaryota; Metazoa; Arthropoda; Insecta; Coleoptera; Lampyridae.
UAUUAAUAAUAUAUGCAUGCAUCUCGAGUAAUCUAAAUGGAUUUUUAGAUGCUUAUAAGAGUUCAGUAACCCAAACUAACAAGAAAAGUUAUGGUGACUAGUGCACCACAACGGCAACGCUGUAACUUUGUUUUCCGUUGAGAGUGGAGGACUUAUUCGAUUGUGGUGUAUUAAUUUAUGGGAGCCCUUUGAAAUGGGGAAAAGCUGUAUUAUUUGUGGAAUUAUUGAAUUACCUAACAUAACCUUUCAUCCGUAUGUGUUUUGAAGUCAUAGACGUGCAUACGGGAAUUUUCGCAUUUUAAUGUGUUUAGAUUUCCUUCUAAGUUUCCACUUUGAAGUAUCACCAUACCUUAUCAUAGAUCAAUAGGGACCUUUCAAACACAUACAGCGUUUGGUCAUAAAUAUUUAGUGAUACGUUAUUACGUUUGCACAUGUAAACAAAACAUAAACUUUGUUGCCCAUAAAAAUAAAUAAACCUUACGCCACUGA